AGAUGUGCCAGCAGUCUGGCUGAGACAUCUGUCACCCUUUGUUCAUCAGCGCUGAGCCCACGGAUCCGACUGGUGAGGCGGACGUCUCCCCCUUCCUGCAGCUCCCCAUGUAGCCUCCCCUGAGGCUGCCUGUGUGGGUUCGCAGGCCAGCAAACAGGAAGGGAAGCCACAGACGCUGGUGAAGUUGAAUUAAGAAAAAGUAGUGAAUGAGAGGAGAGAGGGCCUCGGCUC
Molecule: small RNA, 231 nt
Filed under: Octodon degus (degu)
Lineage: Eukaryota; Metazoa; Chordata; Mammalia; Rodentia; Octodontidae
Description: 7SK RNA (ENSODEG00000023430.1)
Rfam family: 7SK RNA (bases 1-184)
About the family: 7SK was discovered as an abundant small nuclear RNA in the mid-70s but a possible function has only recently been suggested. Two independent studies have found that 7SK RNA binds the CDK9/cyclin T complex (known as elongation factor P-TEFb).
Source: RNAcentral